RNAcentral lists this ribosomal RNA (497 nucleotides) under uncultured bacterium. Its description in RNAcentral is "partial 16S ribosomal RNA". It matches the Rfam family "Bacterial small subunit ribosomal RNA", at positions 28 to 507 of the family's 1533-position model. The record is from RNAcentral.
GAUGAACGCUGGCGGCGUGCCUAAUACAUGCAAGUCGAGCGAACAGACGAGGAGCUUGCUCCUCUGACGUUAGCGGCGGACGGGUGAGUAACACGUGGAUAACCUCCCUAUAAGACUGGGAUAACUUCGGGACACCGGAGCUAAUACCGGAUAAUAUAUUGCACCGCAUGGUUCAAUAGUGAAAGACGGUUUUGCUGUCUCUUAUAGAUGGAUCCGCGCCGCAUUAGCUAGUUGGUAAGGUAACGGCUUACCAAGGCAACGAUGCGUAGCCGACCUGCGAGGGUGAUCGGCCACACUGGAACGGGGACACGGUCCAGACGCCUACGGGAGGCAGCAGUAGGGAAUCGUCCGCAAUGGGCGAAAGCCUGACAGAGCAGCGCCGCGUGAGUGAUGAAGGUCUUCGGAGCGUAAAACUCUGUUAUUGGGGAAGAACAAAUGUGUAAGGAACUAAGCACGUCGUGACGGUAACUAAUCAGAAAGCCACGGCUAACUACGUG